GAAAUUAUUGCAACAAGUUAGUGGGUAGUCACUGCAUUGCAUCCCCAUUUUCAAAAUCCGAUCAUUGGUGGAAGUCACCUACAGGAGAAAUCAAAGAGAAAAGAGAAAGUGCAAACAACAAACUGCAGUGUAAACACACGAGUAGAAAACGUGUUAAUUAUUGGUCAACAUGAUGUUACCAACUCUUUCCCCUCCUCAGCUUUCCAAGAGGUCUCUCUGUUUCUGGUUAACUCCUUCACUUGAAGAACUGAAUCAGCUUCAGUACUCAGGAAGUUGAUCAGAGU
RNAcentral lists this long non-coding RNA (284 nucleotides) under Rosa chinensis. Its description in RNAcentral is "sRNA RchiOBHm_Chr1g0367241". Lineage: Eukaryota; Viridiplantae; Streptophyta; Magnoliopsida; Rosales; Rosaceae. The record is from RNAcentral.